AACGAACGCUGGCGGCAUGCCUAACACAUGCAAGUCGAACGAGACCUUCGGGUCUAGUGGCGCACGGGUGCGUAACGCGUGGGAACCUGCCCUUAGGUUCGGAAUAACUCCCCGAAAGGGGUGCUAAUACCGGAUAAUGUCUUCGGACCAAAGAUUUAUCGCCUUUGGAUGGGCCCGCGUUGGAUUAGCUAGUUGGUAGGGUAAAAGCCUACCAAGGCGACGAUCCAUAGCUGGUCUGAGAGGAUGAUCAGCCACACUGGGACUGAGACACGGCCCAGACUCCUACGGGAGGCAGCAGUGGGGAAUAUUGGACAAUGGGCGAAAGCCUGAUCCAGCAAUGCCGCGUGAGUGAUGAAGGUCUUAGGGUUGUAAAGCUCUUUUACCCGGGAUGAUAAUGACAGUACCGGGAGAAUAAGCCCCGGCUAACUCCGUG
RNAcentral lists this ribosomal RNA (433 nucleotides) under uncultured bacterium. Its description in RNAcentral is "partial 16S ribosomal RNA". It matches the Rfam family "Bacterial small subunit ribosomal RNA", at positions 29 to 507 of the family's 1533-position model. The record is from RNAcentral.